UACAGAGGUUGCGAGCGUUAAUCGGAAUUACUGUGCGUAAAGCGCGCGUAGGCGGCUUUGCAAGUCGGGUGUGAAAUCCCCAGGCUUAACCUGGGAACUGCAUUCGAGACUGCAUUGCUAGAGUAUGGGAGAGGGAAGUGGAAUUUCCGGUGUAGCGGUGAAAUGCGUAGAUAUCGGAAGGAACAUCAGUGGCGAAAGCGACUUCCUGGACCAAUACUGACGCUCAUGUGCGAAAGCGUGGGGAGCAAACAGG
RNAcentral lists this ribosomal RNA (253 nucleotides) under uncultured bacterium. Its description in RNAcentral is "partial 16S ribosomal RNA". It matches the Rfam family "Bacterial small subunit ribosomal RNA", at positions 524 to 776 of the family's 1533-position model. The record is from RNAcentral.